AUUGAACGCUGGCGGCAGGCCUAACACAUGCAAGUCGAACGGUAACAGGAAGAAGCUUGCUUCUUUGCUGACGAGUGGCGGACGGGUGAGUAAUGUCUGGGAAACUGCCUGAUGGAGGGGGAUAACUACUGGAAACGGUAGCUAAUACCGCAUAACGUCGCAAGACCAAAAAGGGGGACCUUCGGGCCUCUUGCCAUCGGAUGUGCCCAGAUGGGAUUAGCUAGUAGGUGGGGCAACGGCUCACCUAGGCGACGAUCCCUAGCUGGUCUGAGAGGAUGACCAGCCACACUGGAACUGAGACACGGUCCAGACUCCUACGGGAGGCAGCAGUGGGGAAUAUUGCACAAUGGGCGCAAGCCUGAUGCAGCCAUGCCGCGUGUAUGAAGAAGGCCUUCGGGUUGUAAAGUACUUUCAGCGGGGAGGAAGGGAGUAAAGUUAAUACCUUUGCUCAUUGACGUACCCGCA
This 465-nucleotide ribosomal RNA is filed under the name Escherichia coli. RNAcentral's name for it is "bacterial SSU rRNA". It matches the Rfam family "Bacterial small subunit ribosomal RNA", at positions 30 to 483 of the family's 1533-position model. The record is from RNAcentral. Lineage: Bacteria; Pseudomonadati; Pseudomonadota; Gammaproteobacteria; Enterobacterales; Enterobacteriaceae.